This 219-nucleotide ribosomal RNA is filed under the name uncultured bacterium. RNAcentral's name for it is "partial 16S ribosomal RNA". It matches the Rfam family "Bacterial small subunit ribosomal RNA", at positions 111 to 334 of the family's 1533-position model. The record is from RNAcentral.
UAAUACAUCGGAACGUGCCCUGUAGUGGGGGAUAACUAGUCGAAAGAUUAGCUAAUACCGCAUACGACCUGAGGGUGAAAUGGGGGACCGCAAGGCCUCAUGCUAUAGGAGCGGCCGAUGUCUGAUUAGCUAGUUGGUGAGGUAAAGGCUCACCAAGGCGACGAUCAGUAGCUGGUCUGAGAGGACGAUCAGCCACACUGGGACUGAGACACGGCCCAG